Molecule: ribosomal RNA, 170 nt
Filed under: uncultured bacterium
Lineage: Bacteria
Description: partial 16S ribosomal RNA
Source: RNAcentral
AUUACCGCGGCUGCUGGCACGUAGUUAGCCGGGGCUUCUUCCGAGGGUACUGUCCGUCCUCCUCCCCCCGAAAAGUGGUUUACAUCCCGAAAGACGUCAUCCCACACGCGGCGUCGCUCCGUCAGCCUUGCGGCCAUUGCGGAAAAUCCCUUGCUGCUGCCUCCCGUAGG